CAGCCGCCGCGGUAAUACAUAGGUGGCAAGCGUUGUCCGGAAUUAUUGGGCGUAAAGGGCUCGCAGGCGGGUUCUUAAGUCUGAUGUGAAAGCCCCCGGCUCAACCGGGGAGGGUCAUUGGAAGCUGGGAAACUUGAGUGCAGAAGAGGAGAGUGGAAUUCCACGUGUAGCGGUGAAAUGCGUAGAGAUGUGGAGGAACACCAGUGGCGAAGGCGACUCUCUGGUCUGUAACUGACGCUGAGGAGCGAAAGCGUGGGGAGCGAACAGGAUUAGAUACCCCAGUAGUCCCUGUCUCUUAUAA
RNAcentral lists this ribosomal RNA (301 nucleotides) under uncultured bacterium. RNAcentral describes it as "partial 16S ribosomal RNA". It matches the Rfam family "Bacterial small subunit ribosomal RNA", at positions 509 to 809 of the family's 1533-position model. The record is from RNAcentral.